RNAcentral lists this ribosomal RNA (492 nucleotides) under uncultured bacterium. Its description in RNAcentral is "partial 16S ribosomal RNA". It matches the Rfam family "Bacterial small subunit ribosomal RNA", at positions 30 to 506 of the family's 1533-position model. The record is from RNAcentral.
AGUGAACGCUGGCGGCAGGCCUAACACAUGCAAGUCGAACGGCAGCACAGUAAGAGCUUGCUCUUACGGGUGGCGAGUGGCGGACGGGUGAGGAAUACAUCGGAAUCUACUUUUUCGUGGGUGAUAUCGUAGGGAAACUUACGCUAAUACCGCAUACGACCUACGGGUGAAAUCAGGGGAUCUUCGGACCUUGCGCGAUUGAAUGAGCCGAUGGCGGAUUAGCUAGUUGGCGGGGUAAAGGCCCACCAAGGCGACGAUCCGUAGCUGGUCUGAGAGGAUGAUACGGCCACACGGGAACUGGGAAACGGCCCGGAUACCUAGGGGAGGCAGCGGAGGGAAAUAUUGGAAAAGGGGGGAAGGCCGGAGCAAGCAAGACGGGGGGGGUGAAGAAGGCCUUCGAGUUGUAAAGCCCGUUUGUUGGGAAAGAAAAGCAGGAGGGUAAUACCGCACUGUUCGGACGGUACCCAAAAAAAAAGCACCGGCUAACUUCGU